Molecule: unclassified non-coding RNA, 311 nt
Filed under: uncultured Basidiomycota
Lineage: Eukaryota; Fungi; Basidiomycota
Also listed under: 1 other name
Description: sequence contains ITS2
Source: RNAcentral
AACGCACCUUGCGCCUUUUGGAUUUUCUAAAAGGCAUGCCUGUUUGAGUAUCAUGAAACCGAUCAGUGAACACUCUGAAUUAAUUUUCUCUGUUGCUUGCUGGACUUGGAUGCUGCUGGUUUUUAAUAAUCAGCUCGUCCGAAAUGCAUUAGCUUGGAGUUGCGAGUCUUUGAAUGCUCCCUGGCGUGAUAAUUGUCAUUAGUCAUGGAAGAUUGCAAGGCAAAGCUACACUCUGCUUCUAAACCAUUUUCUCCGGAAAAUACACUUAAUAUUCUGAUCUCAAAUCAGGUAGGACUACCCGCUGAACUUAA